CGAACGCUGGCGGCGUGCUUAACACAUGCAAGUCGAACGAUGAAGCCCUUCGGGGUGGAUUAGUGGCGAACGGGUGAGUAACACGUGGGCAAUCUGCCCUUCACUCUGGGACAAGCCCUGGAAACGGGGUCUAAUACCGGAUGAUACUUCCACUCGCAUGGGUGGGGGUUGAAAGCUCCGGCGGUGAAGGAUGAGCCCGCGGCCUAUCAGCUUGUUGGUGAGGUAGUGGCUCACCAAGGCGACGACGGGUAGCCGGCCUGAGAGGGCGACCGGCCACACUGGGACUGAGACACGGCCCAGACUCCUACGGGAGGCAGCAGUGGGGAAUAUUGCACAAUGGGCGAAAGCCUGAUGCAGCGACGCCGCGUGAGGGAUGACGGCCUUCGGGUUGUAAACCUCUUUCAGCAGGGAAGAAGCGAAAGUGACGGUACCUGCAGAAGAAGCGCCGGCUAACUACGUGCCAGCAGCCGCGGUAAUACGUAGGGCGCAAGCGUUGUCCGGAAUUAUUGGGCGUAAAGAGCUCGUAGGCGGUCUGUCGCGUCGGAUGUGAAAGCCCGGGGCUUAACCCCGGGUCUGCAUUCGAUACGGGCAGACUAGAGU
Molecule: ribosomal RNA, 600 nt
Filed under: Streptomyces sp. YIM C659
Lineage: Bacteria; Bacillati; Actinomycetota; Actinomycetes; Kitasatosporales; Streptomycetaceae
Description: bacterial SSU rRNA
Rfam family: Bacterial small subunit ribosomal RNA
Source: RNAcentral